This 1346-nucleotide ribosomal RNA is filed under the name uncultured bacterium. RNAcentral describes it as "partial 16S ribosomal RNA". It matches the Rfam family "Bacterial small subunit ribosomal RNA", at positions 28 to 1381 of the family's 1533-position model. The record is from RNAcentral.
GACGAACGCUGGCGGCGUGCUUAACACAUGCAAGUCGAACGGAAAGGCCCUGCUUUUGUGGGGUGCUCGAGUGGCGAACGGGUGAGUAACACGUGAGUAACCUGCCCUUGACUUUGGGAUAACUUCAGGAAACUGGGGCUAAUACCGGAUAGGAGCUCCUGCUGCAUGGUGGGGGUUGGAAAGUUUCGGCGGUUGGGGAUGGACUCGCGGCUUAUCAGCUUGUUGGUGGGGUAGUGGCUUACCAAGGCUUUGACGGGUAGCCGGCCUGAGAGGGUGACCGGCCACAUUGGGACUGAGAUACGGCCCAGACUCCUACGGGAGGCAGCAGUGGGGAAUAUUGCACAAUGGGCGGAAGCCUGAUGCAGCAACGCCGCGUGCGGGAUGACGGCCUUCGGGUUGUAAACCGCUUUCGCCUGUGACGAAGCGUGAGUGACGGUAAUGGGUAAAGAAGCACCGGCUAACUACGUGCCAGCAGCCGCGGUGAUACGUAGGGUGCGAGCGUUGUCCGGAUUUAUUGGGCGUAAAGGGCUCGUAGGUGGUUGAUCGCGUCGGAAGUGUAAUCUUGGGGCUUAACCCUGAGCGUGCUUUCGAUACGGGUUGACUUGAGGAAGGUAGGGGAGAAUGGAAUUCCUGGUGGAGCGGUGGAAUGCGCAGAUAUCAGGAGGAACACCAGUGGCGAAGGCGGUUCUCUGGGCCUUUCCUGACGCUGAGGAGCGAAAGCGUGGGGAGCGAACAGGCUUAGAUACCCUGGUAGUCCACGCUGUAAACGGUGGGUACUAGGUGUGGGGUCCAUUCCACGGGUUCCGUGCCGUAGCUAACGCUUUAAGUACCCCGCCUGGGGAGUACGGCCGCAAGGCUGAAACUCAAAGGAAUUGACGGGGCCCCGCACAAGCGGCGGAGCAUGCGGAUUAAUUCGAUGCAACGCGUAGAACCUUACCUGGGUUUGACAUGGAUCGGGAGUGCUCAGAGAUGGGUGUGCCUCUUUUGGGGUCGGUUCACAGGUGGUGCAUGCCUGUCGUCAGCUCGUGUCGUGAGAUGUUGGGUUAAGUCCCGCAACGAGCGCAACCCUUGUUCACUGUUGCCAGCACGUUAUGGUGGGGACUCAGUGGAGACCGCCGGGGUCAACUCGGAGGAAGGUGGGGAUGACGUCAAGUCAUCAUGCCCCUUAUGUCCAGGGCUUCACGCAUGCUACAAUGGCUGGUACAGAGAGUGGCGAGCCUGUGAGGGUGAGCGAAUCUCGGAAAGCCGGUCUCAGUUCGGAUUGGGGUCUGCAACUCGACCUCAUGAAGUCGGAGUCGCUAGUAAUCGCAGAUCAGCAACGCUGCGGUGAAUACGUUCCCGGGGCU